RNAcentral lists this ribosomal RNA (938 nucleotides) under Postia sp. HHB-13540-Sp. RNAcentral's name for it is "LSU rRNA". It matches the Rfam family "Eukaryotic large subunit ribosomal RNA", at positions 37 to 960 of the family's 3401-position model. The record is from RNAcentral. Lineage: Eukaryota; Fungi; Basidiomycota; Agaricomycetes; Polyporales; Postiaceae.
AGCAUAUCAAUAAGCGGAGGAAAAGAAACUAACAAGGAUUCCCCUAGUAACUGCGAGUGAAGCGGGAAAAGCUCAAAUUUAAAAUCUGGUAGUCUUUGGCUGCCCGAGUUGUAGUCUGGAGAAGUGCUUUCUGCACUGGACCGUGUACAAGUCUCUUGGAACAGAGCGUCAUAGAGGGUGAGAAUCCCGUCUUUGACACGGACUACCAGUGUUGUGUGAUGCGCUCUCGAAGAGUCGAGUUGUUUGGGAAUGCAGCUCAAAAUGGGUGGUAAAUUCCAUCUAAAGCUAAAUAUUGGCGAGAGACCGAUAGCGAACAAGUACCGUGAGGGAAAGAUGAAAAGCACUUUGGAAAGAGAGUUAAACAGUACGUGAAAUUGCUGAAAGGGAAACGCUUGAAGUCAGUCGCGUUGGCCGGAACUCAGCCUUGCUUUUUGCUUGGUGCACUUUUCGGUUGACGGGCCAGCAUCAAUUUUGAUCGUCGGAUAAAGGUUGGGGGAAUGUGGCAUCCUCGGAUGUGUUAUAGCCCUUGGUCACAUACGAUGGUUGGGAUUGAGGAUCUCAGCACACCUUUAUGGUCGGGGUUCGCCCACGCUUGUGCUUCGGAUGCUGGCAUAAUGGCUUUAAACGACCCGUCUUGAAACACGGACCAAGGAGUCUAACAUGCCUGCGAGUGUUUGGGUGGAAAACCCGAGCGCGUAAUGAAAGUGAAAGUUGAGACUCCUGUCGUGGGAGGCAUCGACGCCCGGACCAGACCUUCUGUGACGGCUCCGCGGUAGAGCAUGUAUGUUGGGACCCGAAAGAUGGUGAACUAUGCCUGAAUAGGGUGAAGCCAGAGGAAACUCUGGUGGAGGCUCGUAGCGAUUCUGACGUGCAAAUCGAUCGUCAAAUUUGGGUAUAGGGGCGAAAGACUAAUCGAACCAUCUAGUAGCUGGUUCCUG